AUUUAUUAUUCUCGACAAGCCAGACGCAAUAUGAACGAUUCUCGUUUUAUAAUAUUAUAACGACGCGUUGUCCGUAUAAUAAUUUCUUGAUCUAAAAUUCAAUAUUUCAUGUUCUUCGCGCAAUACUAUCAGAAAUUCGAAUUUAAGCUUCAUUUACGUGCAACAUUUAUAAAUAGAGUGAAUGUUUUUCCAAAUAAAUGGUAUCAGUAUAUUAUUAUAGACUUCGACGGUAAAUUUCAAUUAUUUUUUUCGUCGCACGGUCGCGUCCAUCGUGAAUUAUUUUUUUAUUGAGACGUUAACAACCGUGGUUAUAGAUAUAUACAAUUCGUUAUAUACAAUACAGGAUCGUGAUAAUAAUUUAUUUAGUGACAACGGUCAGCCACUCGUUAUGAUGUGCAGUCUACAUUGAGAACCGUGCAUGCGCGUCUUCAUAUUUUAUGUGUAUCUGUGUGUGUGUGUGUAAAUUUAUGUAAAUUUGGAACACAUUUAACACAUGGAGAUAGCAGCGGCUCAAAAACAUGACUUACGGGAAAAACUCUCAAGCUUUGUCAGCGGUGAAUCUUCAAUAUUUUCUGUUAAGGGUUCUGAAAAUCAUAUACUUUUUAGACGACUAUAUAUCGAUGUUUGAGGGACGUGGCUCAGACUUCUGGACUCUCUUGUAAAUCCACCACUGUAGCUUUGUAGAGUGGUCCGAUUUCGCUGGUUAUUAUUUUUUUUAUUGGAAACAGAAUGACUUCCUACAGACCGCGUCGAAUUCUUUUUUUCAAUAUUUCCUUCUCAAAUUUUAUAAUACGUUUUAAAAAAGGUCAAUUUUGAUCUUGUUUUACUUUUUUUCCUUUAUAAUUAUUUGAAAUCAAAUGAAAAAUCGGAGUUCAAUGCGAUCUGUGAACUUUUUUUGUUUAUGCACUAA
This is a non-coding RNA of Cinara cedri, 910 nucleotides long. The record is from the annotation of a GenBank genome assembly. NCBI's taxonomy places the organism in Eukaryota, Metazoa, Arthropoda, Insecta, Hemiptera, Aphididae.